CCUACGGGAGGCAGCAGUGAGGAAUAUUGGUCAAUGGACGAGAGUCUGAACCAGCCAAGUAGCGUGAAGGAUGACUGCCCUAUGGGUUGUAAACUUCUUUUAUAUGGGAAUAAAAUGUUCCACGUGUGGGAUUUUGUAUGUACCAUAUGAAUAAGGAUCGGCUAACUCCGUGCCAGCAGCCGCGGUAAUACGGAGGAUCCGAGCGUUAUCCGGAUUUAUUGGGUUUAAAGGGAGCGAAGGUGGAUUGUUAAGUCAGUGGGGAAAGUUUGCGGCUCAACCGUAAAAUUGCAGUUGAAACUGGCAGUCUUGAGUACAGUAGAGGUAGGCGGAAUUCGUGGUGUAGCGGUGAAAUGCUUAGAUAUCACGAAGAACUCCGAUUGCGAAGGCAGCUCACUGGACUGCAACUGACACUGAGGCUCGAAAGUGUGGGUAUCAAACAGGAUUAGAUACCCUUGUAGUC
RNAcentral lists this ribosomal RNA (460 nucleotides) under uncultured bacterium. Its description in RNAcentral is "partial 16S ribosomal RNA". It matches the Rfam family "Bacterial small subunit ribosomal RNA", at positions 338 to 795 of the family's 1533-position model. The record is from RNAcentral.